This 476-nucleotide long non-coding RNA is filed under the name Aquilegia coerulea. RNAcentral describes it as "long non-coding RNA (ACOE_LNC000297)". Lineage: Eukaryota; Viridiplantae; Streptophyta; Magnoliopsida; Ranunculales; Ranunculaceae. The record is from RNAcentral.
CCUAACCUUACCAAAAAUAGUAAGGCAAGGAGGGGUUGGGGUUUUUUUUUCGAAGACAAAAGAGGAAAAAAAAUAAAAAAAUAAAAUAAAAAAAUAAAAAAAAUGGGUUACCUUCACCGAUGACCGCCGCCGCCGCCAUGGUGUCAUCUUCUCCAUGACCACCAAGAUCCUAAACCUUAACCAACCCCCCCACUCAUUCUUCUUUCUCCUGUUGCCACCACUACAUCUCCCCCCGUGCCUCCUCCCUCACCUUCUUCCACCAUUCCACCAUUAAACACCGUCGCCACCACCACAUCCCCUUUUACCACCUGCCACCACUACCUUUCCCCGUUCAAAACAACCUGGACCUCCACCAAUCUUAACCCCAGGUCGUGGAGAUCGCGCUCCCCUCUUGUCCAUCUUAAAUUUCCAGUUUCUGGUGUUUUGUAAAUUUGGCUUAGUGAGCCGAGCCGUCUAAGCUAGUAAGCCAAACAAGC